This 732-nucleotide ribosomal RNA is filed under the name uncultured Mycoplasma sp. RNAcentral's name for it is "bacterial SSU rRNA". It matches the Rfam family "Bacterial small subunit ribosomal RNA", at positions 33 to 762 of the family's 1533-position model. The record is from RNAcentral. Lineage: Bacteria; Bacillati; Mycoplasmatota; Mollicutes; Mycoplasmatales; Mycoplasmataceae.
ACGCUGGCUGUGUGCCUAAUACAUGCAUGUCGAGCGAGGUUAGCAAUAACCUAGCGGCGAAUGGGUGAGUAACACGUGCUUAAUCUACCUUUUAGAUUGGAAUACCCAUUGGAAACAAUGGCUAAUGCCGGAUACGCAUGGAACCGCAUGGUUCCGUUGUGAAAGGCGCUGUAAGGCGCCACUAAAAGAUGAGGGUGCGGAACAUUAGUUAGUUGGUGAGGUAAUGGCCCACCAAGACUAUGAUGUUUAGCCGGGUCGAGAGACUGAACGGCCACAUUGGGACUGAGAUACGGCCCAAACUCCUACGGGAGGCAGCAGUAGGGAAUAUUCCACAAUGAGCGAAAGCUUAAUGGAGCGACACAGCGUGCACGAUGAAGGUCUUCGGAUUGUAAAGUGCUGUUAUAAGGGAAGAACAUUUGCAAUAGGAAAUGAUUGCAGACUGACGGUACCUUGUCAGAAAGCGAUGGCUAACUAUGUGCCAGCAGCCGCGGUAAUACAUAGGUCGCAAGCGUUAUCCGGAAUUAUUGGGCGUAAAGCGUUCGUAGGCUGUUUGUUAAGUCUGGAGUUAAAUCCCGGGGCUCAACCCCGGCUCGCUUUGGAUACUAGCAAACUAGAGUUAGAUAGAGGUAAGCGGAAUUCCAUGUGAAGCGGUGAAAUGCGUAGAUAUAUGGAAGAACACCAAAGGCGAAGGCAGCUUACUGGGUCUAUACUGACGCUGAGGGACGAAAGCGU